This 201-nucleotide ribosomal RNA is filed under the name uncultured bacterium. RNAcentral describes it as "partial 16S ribosomal RNA". It matches the Rfam family "Bacterial small subunit ribosomal RNA", at positions 28 to 230 of the family's 1533-position model. The record is from RNAcentral.
GACGAACGCUGGCGGCGUGCUUAACACAUGCAAGUCGAGCGGUAAGGCCCCUUCGGGGGUACACGAGCGGCGAACGGGUGAGUAACACGUGGGUGACCUGCCCUCGGCUCUGGGAUAAGCCUGGGAAACCGGGUCUAAUACCGGAUAUGACUCCAUGACGCAUGUUGGUGGGGUGGAAAGCCUUGUGCGGCUAGGAGGAGU